CUUAUUGUAGCAACAGUUGUAGUUGCUAUACUUGUCUUUUUACCAUUUUAAUGACUUUCAACAGGCAUUUUUUCUGUCACAAAAAGACAACCAAUUUAGUAUGUCAGAAGAAUACUAACUAUAAAGUUUUAAAAACUCUAAGCACCAACUUGUUUCUAGUUUAACAGUGAAGUUUUUAUGUUUUUCAAAUCGUCAAUCGAAUGAACUUUAACUUGUGGUAAAAUUUUUAUAUCUUUAAAUCACUAUUAAGUUCAAACAGAGUAGAAAUUCAAAUUCUUUAAUCUUUAGAAGCAUAAAAAUACAGAGAUUUCAAUGAAUCAGUGAAGUAUUUAUAUUCUGCAAACCAAAUUCCCAAAUUGAUUUGUCGGUUAAGUUUUUAUAUUCUAUCUGUAUUGAUUAAUCAUGUGUUUCAAGGCAUCCCUAUACAUCUAUUAUCAAAACUCAAUCCUCCUAAAGGGGUACUAAGGCAUUUACAUAGCAUCUUUGCUAUGUUUUUCCGGAAGAACACCACAGAUAAGAAGAGUAGACAUUGGGUGAGUUGGGACACUUUAUGCUUACCUAAAUUAGAAGGAGGUGUUGGUUUUAGGUCUCUUUUUGAUGUUUCUAAUGUUCUUUUUUGUAAAAUUUUAUGGAACUUGAGGAGUAGACCUUCACAAUUGGGAGCUUUUAUGACCAACAAAUAUUGCAAAAAAGCUUCAUCCAGUAUUGACCUAAUGUAGGGGAGAUUCCCCUAUAUGGAAAAAGCUAAGAUUUGACAGAGAGCUCAUAGAGCAUCAAAUUUGGUGGAAGAUUGAGAAUGGGAAUUCUAGUUUUUGGUAUGACUUUUGGACUACAAUGGGAGCAUUAUAUCACAUUAUCGCAGAUAUAGGGGAUGGGGAAAUUGAAGUUAGGAAUUUUACAACUGUAAAUAGGUGGAAUGAGCAAAGUUUGAGUAAAUUUUUCCCUAAAGAGAAUGUAGAUUUCAUCAUUAAAAACAUCUGAUCUCCAAUGCAAAUAGAUAAUCUAGAUAAAUAGUGUGGAUGCUUGAACCUAGUGGAAUUUUCUCAGUCAAGAGUGUGUGUGAGUAUACUAUACAAAAGGAUCAGAAAGAAGACAUAUUUUAAUAUUUAUGGAGUGAUAAGCUGCCUUUUAAAAUAUCUUUUUUCACUUGGAGAAUGUGGAAAUUCAGGGUGCCAGUGGAUAAAAUAGUGCAACACAUGGGUGUUAACAUGGUUUCUAGGUGUUGGUGUUGCACUAAUGGUUACUAAUGUUGCAGGUAUAUACAUUGAAGGCUUACAGUUAUCACAAGUGAUCAUUAAAUGGUGGCCAAGAAAAUGUUGUUCAAACUUAAAGCUACUUAUGAGAGCUAUAUCAUCUAUAAUUAUUUGGAACCUAUGGAAGAGAAGGAAUAGAUUAAAGCAUUGAAAUACAUCAUCAUUUACUCAUUUAGUUUUCAAGGUCAACGCUAACCUAUGAAGACUCGGGAGAAUUCUACAUCCAAAAAUACAUGAUUUCCCAAUACACUGGUAAAAUAUUAUGGUAUAUUAAGAGAACCUUAAAGCCAAACUAUUUCAUCUUCCAAUUUGCUGGAAACCACUGGAAGGAUGUCUAAAAUACAACACUGAUGGUAUAUCAAGAGGCAAUCCAUGUAGGAGCACCUGCAAUUUCUUCUUGAGGAACUUUGCAGGUGAUUUAAUAUAUGCUCAAGGGGAAAAAAUUCAGGAAAGCACAAUUCUAGAAGCAGAAGCCAUGGCAAUAAAAAAGGCUCUAGCACACUGUGUGACAAAAGGGAUUACUAAAGUUAGUCUGGAAAUGGAUUCACUAAUGAUGAUUAAAAUUCUUACAAAAAUGUGAUUACCUUGGAAUAUUAUUGGGAUCGUGGAAGCAGAACAGAAAUAUUUAGAACUAUGUCAGGUUCACAUCCAACAUGUAUACAAAAAGGGUAAUUAUUUGGUUGAUUGCUAGCCAAUUUAGCUUUUGAUAAUACAGGUAGACUUGUCUUUAAUUUCUUCUCAGAAUUACCAAGUCAUGCCAGAAGGAUUUUGAAUCUAGAUAAGCAUCAAGUGCCAAAUUUAAGAAUUCGUACUAAGGAAAUAGUUAGAUAUAAGGAUGGGUGUCAAGGAUCCGUCACAACAAUUAUAAGAUGAGUUCAAGCAUUUUUAUUUUCUUGAUGUAGAUUAGUAUUUCUAGUACCUUUGUAGAGGAACAAUUCAUUUCAAAAACCCAAUUCAUAAGGGCAUUUAUAGAUCUAAAGUCAUUGUACUUGAGCGAAGAAUUAUAGAAGACAUGAUUAUAAGUCUUGGUACAGAUUCAAACUUCUUUGAGUCGUCACAGAUGCAAGUCAAAGCUAUAGGAAAACACACAGAUAUAAAGAUAAAUAUUUGCAAAGGGAAAGCCAACUUAUACCUGGAAAAAACUCCAAAAAUCUAUUUGAAGCAGGUUGUGGUCGGUUAAUAAGAAGCUCGCCGGAAGUCUUUCGCUCCAGGAGCUCAUCACCAAACAUUUUUGUUGCUAAAAAUAUUAGUAGGAAAGCCAAGAAAUAAAAAUAAUAUGGGAAAGGAGCUUACAUUUGUUUCACAGCAGGUCAUCACUUUCCUAUUUGCUCAAAUGAUGGAAGAUGAUGGAGAGGAAUUAGCAGAGCUUCUGAUUCAUUUGCCUCUUCAUUUUCUUACUUUUUGUAUUAUUAUUUCCAAGGAAAUGUAUCGAUUGGGAUGCUCUUUUUUUUAUGGACAUGGUUUUAUU
RNAcentral lists this long non-coding RNA (2721 nucleotides) under Capsicum annuum. Its description in RNAcentral is "long non-coding RNA (CANN_LNC016343)". The record is from RNAcentral. Lineage: Eukaryota; Viridiplantae; Streptophyta; Magnoliopsida; Solanales; Solanaceae.